GGCGGACCCCUAAGGAGCCCCCCGCUAUNANANNGGGACUAAGCGAGGCUCUUCGAGGUACCUAUGCGCGUCCCACGGCGACAGUAACACGUAGUCUACAUGCCCAGGUGACGUGGAUAACCUCGUUAAACUGAGAAUAAACCACGAUAGGUCAUGAUUUCUGGAACGGAUGAUGUUCUACAUCUACAUGGCCCCUGGAUUGGACUGACGCCCAUCCCGCUGUUGGUGACGUAAUGGACCAACAAAUCUAUCACCCGUACGGGCUCUGAGAGGAGAACUCCCGCGAUCGGCACUGAGACAAGGGCCCAGGCCCUAUGGGGCGUAGCAGGUGCGAAACCUCUGCAAUACGCUAUUUUCUGACCGGGUUACUCUGAGUGAUUUCUUCUAAGGGGAUCUUUUGGCACCUCUAAAAAUGGAGCAGAAUAAGGGGUGGGCAAGUGUGGUGUCAGCCGCCGCGGUAAUACCAGCACCUCGCGUGCUAAGAGACGAUUAUUGGGCCUAAAGCAUCCGUAAAAAAAUCUGCAAGUCUUCCGUUAAAUCCAGCCGGUCAACGGAUGGGCCGAGGAGGAUACUACAGGAUUAGGAGGCGGGAGAGGCAAGCGGUACUCAGUGGGUAGGGGUAAAAUCCUUUGAUCCAUUGAAGACCGCCAGUGGCGAAGGCGGCUUGCCAGAACGCGCUCGUCGGUGAGGGAUGCACGCAGCCGGAGCAAACCGGAUUAGAUACCCGGGUAGUCCCAGCUGUAAACGAUGCAGACUCGGUGAUGGGCUAGCCUUGUGCCAGCCCCGUGCCGCAGGGAAGCCGUUAACUCCCUUUAGUGGGGCCCACGGUCGC
This 832-nucleotide ribosomal RNA is filed under the name uncultured archaeon. RNAcentral describes it as "bacterial SSU rRNA". It matches the Rfam family "Archaeal small subunit ribosomal RNA", at positions 1 to 844 of the family's 1478-position model. The record is from RNAcentral.